AUUGAACGCUGGCGGCAGGCCUAACACAUGCAAGUCGAACGGCAGCACAGUAAGAGCUUGCUCUUACGGGUGGCGAGUGGCGGACGGGUGCGGAAUACAUCGGAAUCUACUUUUUCGUGGGUGAUAACGUAGGGGCACUUACGCUAAUACCGCAUACGACCUACGGGUGAAAGCAUGGGAUCUUCGGACCUUGCGCGAUUGAAUGAGCCGAUGUCGGAUUAGCUAGUUGGCGGGGUAAAGGCCCACCAAGGCGACGAUCCGUAGCUGGUCUGAGAGGAUGAUCAGCCACACUGGAACUGAGACACGGUCCAGACUCCUACGGGAGGCAGCAGUGGGGAAUAUUGGACAAUGGGCGCAAGCCUGAUCCAGCCAUACCGCGUGGGUGAAGAAGGCCUUCGGGUUGUAAAGCCCUUUUGUUGGGAAAGAAAAGCAGCAGGUUAAUACCCCGCUGUUCUGACGGUACCCAAAGAAUAAGCACCGGCUAACUUCGUG
Molecule: ribosomal RNA, 492 nt
Filed under: uncultured bacterium
Lineage: Bacteria
Description: partial 16S ribosomal RNA
Rfam family: Bacterial small subunit ribosomal RNA
Source: RNAcentral